CGGGGAAUGCCAUUUCAGUUCUUAAUCCUUCACCAAGUAAUAGAGAUGAUGAUAAUAUGCAUUGCUUCACGAAAUCGUUUGCCAAGAGCCAAGAGAGAAAUCGUCUUCAUUUGAGAAUAAUUAAUUUUGUGUUCGAGAAGGCAAUUGGAGGUCCUAGAGUAAGAGGCACAGACUUGAGGGCAAAUAACACACCGACACCAUGGGCCAUCUUGUCUCUUCCAACAAUGUCCCCUGUUAGGACAGGAGCCAGAAGCACAUAGCACCCCUCAAAGAAGCCAAACACAGUAGAGUAGAUCACUAGCCCAGUGUAGGAGGUCAAUACAGGACACAGAGUGUUGCUAAUUCCAAUCAUGAGGAAGGAGAUCUGGUAAAGGUACAAUCUGUUCACUCUUGGGUAGUCAGCCACCUUGCCAAAAAUGAGACGUCCAAGAGUAGAUCCAACUGACAUGAUGCCGAUGAGCAGAGUUGCUCUAAAUGGGUCGAUACCUUCUUCUGUGGCAAGACGCACCUUGGAAAGGACCCAUGCAAAGUGUACCUACACCACUUCCUGAGGAAGUGAUCCCAUUGGCUAAGGAGAGACGCUCUGAAAAGUACUGGCCUAAGAUUACCACAGAUGGGAAGUAACACAUGCUUGCUCCAACACCAAAAAGGAACCCAUAUGUCAAGUCCAUCAGAUUGCACGUAUUUUCAAGUAGUUAAGAAGACUGAUGAUGUUUGUCCGGAUGUUUACGUCUUUUCCUCUUCAAGGGACGUGGCCUCAGUCUUGUACAUUCAAGUUCGGAGCAACUCCAUCAAAACGUCAGCAUUACCAUGGAAACCAUUUUCUAAUCAGGAUGCAGGAAAGGGAACAACAAGUUUGAUUCCCUGGUAACUAGUGGCAAGUCAUGACACACCAACGCGAUUAGAUGAUAAAAUUUUCUAACUAGAACGCUCGUCUGCAACAUUUAUAGCCGAACCCAAUGCAAGUGCGCUGAUCUUUACUCAUUACUCAGGCGGUCAGUUGGAGGCUUGAGUUACAUGUCGGUUCUUUCACUUAUCGCGGUUAAGACUCUAAAGCGCAUGCGUGAGGAACCAUGUGAAAACGGUAUGAAAGGCAUAACGUCUUUCACAGGCUCUUCAAAUCUUUUUCACGUGCCAUUCACAUGCAUGUUGAAUUCACCGGCAUGAACGUCAAGUGCCUGAGUACACGCUGAUACGCGUCUAGUUGUUAUAUAGCGAAAUGCAAAGUUCCCACCGAUCGCGAUUAAUCCCCUUGAAGUUAUUGGAAAUAUCAUUAUUAAUCAAUUUGGCGCCUUCGUUCCAAUAAGCGCCCUCCUCUUAUUCUAAGGAGCGCCCCAGUUGCAUAAGCACCCUCUUUCUAAAGAGCGCCCCUAUUCCAAUAAUACAGUGAUGGCACUGUAAAAGUACCUGUACAUUAAGAUCAACCAUGUUCAUCUUCCUUAAAUCGCUCAUUUGAAGCCUCAUCACAAAAGCGAUUCUCACAGGCGAUUCUCAAAAUUCCCUACCAAUAUUAGGUGAAUAUUCACUUCAGUCUCUUUGUUACCUUUACAGUCUCUGUUAUUGUUCCUUUGUAAAUAAACAAUAAAGCUUUGUUACGCACAUUCUGCUGCUUCUCAAAAAAAAAAACAUAUUGUGUGAGGCAGAUAUUCAGGUGGUCCAGUGAGGUGGUUUGACAUUUGUAAAAGCACUUUAAUUCCUUCAUUUAGCUCGUCUGGUGACUAAUAAUUAUUAAAAAAAUAAAGCAUCACAUGUCAUAUACUUCUCUCGUGAUA
Molecule: long non-coding RNA, 1772 nt
Organism: Pocillopora verrucosa
Lineage: Eukaryota; Metazoa; Cnidaria; Anthozoa; Scleractinia; Pocilloporidae
Source: RefSeq, a predicted model, not a curated record